UCCUGGCUCAGAACACGCUGGCGGCAGGCCUAACACAUGCAAGUCGAACGCCCUAGCAAUAGGGAGUGGCAGACGGGUGAGUAACACGUGGGAACCUUCCCUAUAGUAUGGAAUAGCCCAGGGAAACUUGGAGUAAUACCGUAUACGCCCGAGAGGGGAAAGAUUUAUCGCUAUAGGAUGGGCCCGCGUAGGAUUAGCUAGUUGGUGAGGUAAUGGCUCACCAAGGCGACGAUCCUUAGCCGGUCUGAGAGGACGACCAGCCACACUGGGACUGAGACACGGCCCAGACUCCUACGGGAGGCAGCAGUGGGGAAUAUUGGACAAUGGGCGCAAGCCUGAUCCAGCCAUGCCGCGUGAGUGAUGAAGGCCUUAGGGUUGUAAAGCUCUUUUGCCGGGGACGAUAAUGACGGUACCCGGAGAAUAAGUCCCGGCUAACUUCGUG
RNAcentral lists this ribosomal RNA (442 nucleotides) under uncultured bacterium. RNAcentral's name for it is "bacterial SSU rRNA". It matches the Rfam family "Bacterial small subunit ribosomal RNA", at positions 17 to 507 of the family's 1533-position model. The record is from RNAcentral.